RNAcentral lists this ribosomal RNA (253 nucleotides) under uncultured bacterium. RNAcentral describes it as "partial 16S ribosomal RNA". It matches the Rfam family "Bacterial small subunit ribosomal RNA", at positions 524 to 776 of the family's 1533-position model. The record is from RNAcentral.
UACGGAGGGUGCAAGCGUUAUCCGGAUUUACUGGGUUUAAAGGGUGCGUAGGUGGGUAGGUAAGUCAGUGGUGAAAUCUUCGAGCUUAACUCGGAAACUGCCAUUGAUACUAUUUAUCUUGAAUACUUUGGAGGUAAGCGGAAUAUGUCAUGUAGCGGUGAAAUGCUUAGAUAUGACAUAGAACACCGAUUGCGAAGGCAGCUUACUACACAGUUAUUGACACUGAGGCCCGAAAGCGUGGGGAUCAAACAGG